AUUGAACGCUGGCGGAAUGCUUUACACAUGCAAGUCGAACGGCAGCAUAGGUGCUUGCACCUGAUGGCGAGUGGCGAACGGGUGAGUAAUACAUCGGAACGUGCCCAGUCGUGGGGGAUAACGUAGUGAAAAUUACGCUAAUACCGCAUACGAUCUAUGGAUGAAAGCGGGGGAUCGCAAGACCUCGCGCGAUUGGAGCGGCCGAUAUCAGAUUAGGUAGUUGGUGAGGUAAAGGCUCACCAAGCCGACGAUCUAUAGCUGGUCUGAGAGGAUGAUCAGCCACACUGGGACUGAGACACGGCCCAGACUCCUACGGGAGGCAGCAGUGGGGAAUUUUGGACAAUGGGCGCAAGCCUGAUCCAGCCAUUCCGCGUGCAGGACGAAGGCCUUCGGGUUGUAAACUGCUUUUGUACAGAACGAAAAGGUCUCUAUUAAUACUAGGGGCUCAUGACGGUACUGUAAGAAUAAGCACCGGCUAACUACGUG
Molecule: ribosomal RNA, 486 nt
Filed under: uncultured bacterium
Lineage: Bacteria
Description: bacterial SSU rRNA
Rfam family: Bacterial small subunit ribosomal RNA
Source: RNAcentral